UGGGGAAUUUUGGACAAUGGGCGAAAGCCUGAUCCAGCCAUGCCGCGUGCAGGAUGAAGGCCUUCGGGUUGUAAACUGCUUUUGUACGGAACGAAAAGACUCCUUCUAAUAAAGGGGGUCCAUGACGGUACCGUAAGAAUAAGCACCGGCUAACUACGUGC
This 161-nucleotide ribosomal RNA is filed under the name uncultured bacterium. RNAcentral describes it as "partial 16S ribosomal RNA". It matches the Rfam family "Bacterial small subunit ribosomal RNA", at positions 355 to 508 of the family's 1533-position model. The record is from RNAcentral.